Molecule: ribosomal RNA, 468 nt
Filed under: uncultured bacterium
Lineage: Bacteria
Description: partial 16S ribosomal RNA
Rfam family: Bacterial small subunit ribosomal RNA
Source: RNAcentral
GACGAACGCUGGCGGCGUGCUUAACACAUGCAAGUCGAACGGAAAGGCCCUGCUUUUGUGGGGUGCUCGAGUGGCGAACGGGUGAGUAACACGUGAGUAACCUGCCCUUGACUUUGGGAUAACUUCAGGAAACUGGGGCUAAUACCGGAUAGGAGCUCCUGCUGCAUGGUGGGGGUUGGAAAGUUUCGGCGGUUGGGGAUGGACUGGAGGCUUAUCGGCUUGGUGGUGGGGUAGUGGCUUACCAAGGCUUUGACGGGUAGCCGGCCUGAGAGGGUGACCGGCCACAUUGGGACUGAGAUACGGCCCAGUCUCCUACGGGAGGCAGCAGUGGAGAAUAUUGCGCAAUGGGCGGAAGCCUGAUGCAGCAACGCCGCGUGCGGGAUGACGGCCUUCGGGUUGUAAACCGCUUUCGCCUGUGACGAAGCGUGAGUGACGGUAAUGGGUAAAGAAGCACCGGCUAACUACGUG